UUGGGAAUUUUGGACAAUGGGGGAAACCCUGAUCCAGCCAUCCCGCGUGUGCGAUGAAGGCCUUCGGGUUGUAAAGCACUUUUGGCAGGAAAGAAACGUCAUGGGUUAAUACCCCGUGAAACUGACGGUACCUGCAGAAUAAGCACCGGCUAACUACGUGCCAGCAGCCGCGGUAAUACGUAGGGUGCAAGCGUUAAUCGGAAUUACUGGGCGUAAAGCGUGCGCAGGCGGUUCGGAAAGAAAGAUGUGAAAUCCCAGAGCUCAACUUUGGAACUGCAUUUUUAACUACCGGGCUAGAGUGUGUCAGAGGGAGGUGGAAUUCCGCGUGUAGCAGUGAAAUGCGUGGAUAUGCGGAGGAACACCGAUGGCGAAGGCAGCCUCCUGGGAUAACACUGACGCUCAUGCACGAAAGCGUGGGGAGCAAACAGG
This 429-nucleotide ribosomal RNA is filed under the name Acidobacteriota bacterium. RNAcentral describes it as "Acidobacteria bacterium partial 16S ribosomal RNA". It matches the Rfam family "Bacterial small subunit ribosomal RNA", at positions 355 to 776 of the family's 1533-position model. Lineage: Bacteria; Pseudomonadati; Acidobacteriota. The record is from RNAcentral.